GGGUUGUGAGGUUAAGCGACUAAGCGUACACGGUGGAUGCCCUGGCAGUCAGAGGCGAUGAAGGACGUGCUAAUCUGCGAUAAGCGUCGGUAAGGUGAUAUGAACCGUUAUAACCGGCGAUUUCCGAAUGGGGAAACCCAGUGUGAUUCGUCACACUAUCAUUAACUGAAUCCAUAGGUUAAUGAGGCGAACCGGGGGAACUGAAACAUCUAAGUACCCCGAGGAAAAGAAAUCAACCGAGAUUCCCCCAGUAGCGGCGAGCGAACGGGGAGGAGCCCAGAGCCUGAAUCAGUGUGUGUGUUAGUGGAAGCGUCUGGAAAGGCGCGCGAUACAGGGUGACAGCCCCGUACACAAAAAUGCACAUGCUGUGAGCUCGAUGAGUAGGGCGGGACACGUGGUAUCCUGUCUGAAUAUGGGGGGACCAUCCUCCAAGGCUAAAUACUCCUGACUGACCGAUAGUGAACCAGUACCGUGAGGGAAAGGCGAAAAGAACCCCGGCGAGGGGAGUGAAAAAGAACCUGAAACCGUGUACGUACAAGCAGUGGGAGCCUCUUUAUGGGGUGACUGCGUACCUUUUGUAUAAUGGGUCAGCGACUUAUAUUCUGUAGCAAGGUUAACCGAAUAGGGGAGCCGAAGGGAAACCGAGUCUUAACUGGGCGUUAAGUUGCAGGGUAUAGACCCGAAACCCGGUGAUCUAGCCAUGGGCAGGUUGAAGGUUGGGUAACACUAACUGGAGGACCGAACCGACUAAUGUUGAAAAAUUAGCGGAUGACUUGUGGCUGGGGGUGAAAGGCCAAUCAAACCGGGAGAUAGCUGGUUCUCCCCGAAAGCUAUUUAGGUAGCGCCUCGUGAAUUCAUCUCCGGGGGUAGAGCACUGUUUCGGCAAGGGGGUCAUCCCGACUUACCAACCCGAUGCAAACUGCGAAUACCGGAGAAUGUUAUCACGGGAGACACACGGCGGGUGCUAACGUCCGUCGUGAAGAGGGAAACAACCCAGACCGCCAGCUAAGGUCCCAAAGUCAUGGUUAAGUGGGAAACGAUGUGGGAAGGCCCAGACAGCCAGGAUGUUGGCUUAGAAGCAGCCAUCAUUUAAAGAAAGCGUAAUAGCUCACUGGUCGAGUCGGCCUGCGCGGAAGAUGUAACGGGGCUAAACCAUGCACCGAAGCUGCGGCAGCGACGCUUAUGCGUUGUUGGGUAGGGGAGCGUUCUGUAAGCCUGUGAAGGUGUGCUGUGAGGCAUGCUGGAGGUAUCAGAAGUGCGAAUGCUGACAUAAGUAACGAUAAAGCGGGUGAAAAGCCCGCUCGCCGGAAGACCAAGGGUUCCUGUCCAACGUUAAUCGGGGCAGGGUGAGUCGACCCCUAAGGCGAGGCCGAAAGGCGUAGUCGAUGGGAAACAGGUUAAUAUUCCUGUACUUGGUGUUACUGCGAAGGGGGGACGGAGAAGGCUAUGUUGGCCGGGCGACGGUUGUCCCGGUUUAAGCGUGUAGGCUGGUUUUCCAGGCAAAUCCGGAAAAUCAAGGCUGAGGCGUGAUGACGAGGCACUACGGUGCUGAAG
This 1554-nucleotide ribosomal RNA is filed under the name Escherichia coli. RNAcentral's name for it is "partial 23S ribosomal RNA". It matches the Rfam family "Bacterial large subunit ribosomal RNA", at positions 1 to 1590 of the family's 2925-position model. Lineage: Bacteria; Pseudomonadati; Pseudomonadota; Gammaproteobacteria; Enterobacterales; Enterobacteriaceae. The record is from RNAcentral.